Molecule: ribosomal RNA, 417 nt
Filed under: Triticum aestivum (bread wheat)
Lineage: Eukaryota; Viridiplantae; Streptophyta; Magnoliopsida; Poales; Poaceae
Description: partial small subunit ribosomal RNA
Source: RNAcentral
AUGAGUGCUUUAGGCCGUCCACAAGAUAUCUUUUCGGAUACUGCCAUACAAUUACAACCUAUCUUUGCUCAAUGGGUACAAAAUAUCCAUGCUACUGCGCCUGGCGUAACAGCUCCUGGUGCAACAACAAGUACUAGCUUAACGUGGGGAGGCGGCGAGUUAGUAGUAGUAGUAGGUGGCAAAGUGGCUUUGUUACCUAUUCCAUUAGGAACCGUAGAUUUUUUAGUCCAUCACAUUCAUGCAUUUACCAUACAUGUGACUGUAUUAAUACUUUUGAAAGGUGUUUUAUUUGCUCGGAGUUCCCGUUUGAUACCCGAUAAAGCAAAUAUAGGUUUUCACUUUCCUUGCGAUGGGCCUGGCCAAGGGGGAACAUGUCAAGUAUCCGCCUGGGAUCAUGUUUUCUUAGGUUUAUUCUGA